GACGAACGCUGGCGGCGUGCUUAACACAUGCAAGUCGUACGGUAAGGCCCUUUCGGGGGUACACGAGUGGCGAACGGGUGAGUAACACGUGAGUAACCUGCCCACAACUUUGGGAUAACGCUAGGAAACUGGUGCUAAUACUGGAUAUGUGCUCCUGCUGCAUGGUGGGGGUUGGAAAGCUCCGGCGGUUGUGGAUGGACUCGCGGCCUAUCAGCUUGUUGGUGGGGUAGUGGCCUACCAAGGCGGCGACGGGUAGCCGGCCUGAGGGGGUGACCGGCCACAUUGGGACUGAGAUGCGGCCCAGGCUCCUACGGGAGGGAGCAGUGGGGAAGAUUGAACGAUGGGCGCAAGCCUGAUGCAGCAACGCCGCGUGCGGGAUGACGGCCUUCGGGUUGUAAACCGCUUUCAGCAGGGACGAAGCUUUUUGUGACGGUACCUGAAGAAGAAGCACCGGCUAACUACGUG
Molecule: ribosomal RNA, 465 nt
Filed under: uncultured bacterium
Lineage: Bacteria
Description: partial 16S ribosomal RNA
Rfam family: Bacterial small subunit ribosomal RNA
Source: RNAcentral